GGGUUUUGAAGCCUGUGGACUUUUCUUUUCUCCCUCAUUCAACAGCCUGAUCAUGAAGCAGGAAAGAAAGGAAAAUGUGUGCCACGCCUGACUGGUUUUUGUGUUUUUUUGGUGGAGACGGGGUUUCGCUGUGUUGGCCGGGCUGGUCUCCAGCUCCUAACUGCGAGUGGUCCGCCGGCCUCGGCCUCCAGUGGUGCCGGGAUUGCGGACGGAGUCUGGUUCACUUGGUGCUCGGUGGUGCCCAGGCUGGAGUGCAGUGGCGUGGUCUCGGCUCACUGCGGCCUCCACCUCCCAGCCGCCUGCCUUGGCCUCCCGGGGUGCCGAGAUUGCAGCCUCUGCCUGGCCGCCACCCCAUCUGGGAAGUGGGGAGCGUCUCUGCCUGGCCGCCCAUCGUCUGGGACGUGGGGAGCCCCUCUGCCUGGCUGCCCAGUCUGGAGGGUGAGGAGCGUCUCUGCCAGGCCGCCAUCCCAUCUAGGAAGUGAGGAGCGCCUCUUCCCAGCCGCCAUCCCCUCUGGGAGCCUCACAAUCAAGGACAAAUUCCUGAAUGCAACAUUUGCUUUUCCGUCUUCCCGCUUCACCUCACUCAUCCCUGCAGAAGUACAAGUAUUCCUGGCUUCUUCAAGUCUACGCCUAAGAAUUAAGAGCCUUGGGGAGAAGGGCACUGCAUCGACCACUGCAUCUCAAUCAUUGUGGCAGACGUACCACAGCACUGGGAAGCUGGCCUUGGCAAGAAUCUCAGGCUAUUACUACAGAGUUGGGAAGAAGGUUUAGGAUCAAGAUAGAGGUGACUGACCAAGCAGCAGAAAUGGAGUAAGACAUCUGACAUCCUGGCCCCAAUAUCUUUCUCAUCAUUCCAGUCUGCUCUGAGAAACUCUCUCUCCUAGUCUGGUGGUACAAACUCCUGGGAUCCAAGCACGCUGUGUCAUGCUGCUGUACUGUUCAGUACAGAAGCCACUAACCACGUGUGCCUACCAGGCAGUUGAGAUGUGGCUGGUUCAAACUGAGAUAUACUAUAAAUAUAAAAUACCACAGGAUUUUGAAGACUUACG
Molecule: long non-coding RNA, 1049 nt
Filed under: Homo sapiens (human)
Lineage: Eukaryota; Metazoa; Chordata; Mammalia; Primates; Hominidae
Description: long non-coding RNA NONHSAT204340.1
Source: RNAcentral